Molecule: ribosomal RNA, 460 nt
Filed under: uncultured bacterium
Lineage: Bacteria
Description: partial 16S ribosomal RNA
Rfam family: Bacterial small subunit ribosomal RNA
Source: RNAcentral
CCUACGGGAGGCAGCAGUGAGGAAUAUUGGUCAAUGGACGAGAGUCUGAACCAGCCAAGUAGCGUGAAGGAUGACUGCCCUAUGGGUUGUAAACUUCUUUUAUAUGGGAAUAAAAUGUUCCACGUGUGGGAUUUUGUAUGUACCAUAUGAAUAAGGAUCGGCUAACUCCGUGCCAGCAGCCGCGGUAAUACGGAGGAUCCGAGCGUUAUCCGGAUUUAUUGGGUUUAAAGGGAGCGUAGGUGGAUUGUUAAGUCAGUUGUGAAAGUUUGCGGCUCAACCGUAAAAUUGCAGUUGAAACUGGCAGUCGUGAGUACAGUAGAGGUGGGCGGAAGUCGGGGUGUAGCGGUGAAAUGCUUAGAUAUCACGAAGAACUCCGAUUGCGAAGGCAGCUCACUGGACUGCAACUGACACUGAGGCUCGAAAGUGUGGGUAUCAAACAGGAUUAGAUACCCGUGUAGUC